UGAAGUAUCUAAUUUCAGCCGCCGGCGCGUUUUGCGCGGGAGGAAAGUCCGGGCUCCGCAGGGCGUGAUGCAGGAGAAAUUCCUGCGGGUGCGAACCCAGGGAAAGUGCCACAGAAAAGGAAACCGCCGUCUUAUGACGGCAAGGAUGAAAAGGCGGGGUAAGAGCCCACCGGCCGCGCAGGAAUUCGCGGGCUUGGCAAACCCCAUCAGGAGCAAGGUUGAAUAGGGAAGGACGAGGCUGCCCGCUGACUUCCGGGUACGACCGCUCAUUUCUGCGUGCAAGCGCAGGAUUAGAUAAAUGGCUGAAAGAUUAUUUCUUACAAAACCCGGCUUAUUGGGUGCUUCGUUAU
This 350-nucleotide RNase P RNA is filed under the name Synergistes sp. Its description in RNAcentral is "RNase P RNA component class A". It matches the Rfam family "Bacterial RNase P class A". From Rfam's summary of the family: Ribonuclease P (RNase P) is a ubiquitous endoribonuclease, found in archaea, bacteria and eukarya as well as chloroplasts and mitochondria. Its best characterised activity is the generation of mature 5'-ends of tRNAs by cleaving the 5'-leader elements of precursor-tRNAs. Lineage: Bacteria; Thermotogati; Synergistota; Synergistia; Synergistales; Synergistaceae. The record is from RNAcentral.